UACGUAGGGUGCGAGCGUUAAUCGGAAUUACUGGGCGUAAAGCGUGCAUAGGUGGUUCGUUGUGUCUGUGGUGAAAGCCCCGGGCUUAACCUGGGAAUGGCCAUGGAAACUGGCGAGCUGGAGUGUGGCAGAGGGGGGUGGAAUUCCGCGUGUAGCAGUGAAAUGCGUAGAGAUGCGGAGGAACACCGAUGGCGAAGGCAGCCCCCUGGGCUAACACUGACGCUGAGGCACGAAAGCGUGGGGAGCAAACAGG
RNAcentral lists this ribosomal RNA (253 nucleotides) under uncultured bacterium. RNAcentral describes it as "partial 16S ribosomal RNA". It matches the Rfam family "Bacterial small subunit ribosomal RNA", at positions 524 to 776 of the family's 1533-position model. The record is from RNAcentral.